Molecule: non-coding RNA, 174 nt
Filed under: uncultured Sphingomonas sp.
Lineage: Bacteria; Pseudomonadati; Pseudomonadota; Alphaproteobacteria; Sphingomonadales; Sphingomonadaceae
Source: RNAcentral
CCGGUGCCCGACAAGGGCUUGAAUGGGAAUGUGGUGCAAAUCCACGGCUGUCCCUGCAACUGUAAGCGGAGAGCGCGCGGCACACGCCCCCUGACCGGGGCAGCCACUGGAUCUCGAUCCGGGAAGGCCGUGCCGCGAUCGCGACGACCCGCAAGCCAGGAGACCUGCCGGCGC